CGCGUAGGCGGUAAUGUAAGUCGGACGUGAAAUCCUUCGGCUCAACUGAAGAACUGCGUCUGAAACUGCAUGACUAGAGUGCAGAAGAGGGAAACGGAAUUCCAGGUGUAGAGGUGAAAUUCGUAGAUAUCUGGAGGAACACCGGUGGCGAAGGCGGUUUCCUGGUCUGACACUGACGCUGAGGCGCGAAAGCGUGGGGAGCAAACAGGAUUAGAUACCCUGGUAGUCCACGCCGUAAACGGUGGGUACUGGGUGUGGGAGGUGUAAUGCCUUCUGUGCCGAAGCUAACGCGUUAAGUACCCCGCCUGGGGAGUACGGCCGCAAGGUUGAA
This 331-nucleotide ribosomal RNA is filed under the name uncultured bacterium. RNAcentral describes it as "bacterial SSU rRNA". It matches the Rfam family "Bacterial small subunit ribosomal RNA", at positions 568 to 898 of the family's 1533-position model. The record is from RNAcentral.